UCACAGGAGAGCCAAGAGCAAUACCCUAGCACAGCACAAAAUGAAAGUGGAAAAUGUGCUUGGAGCAUCUGAGGAUAAAACAAAUUGCAGCUGAUAGACUUACUGAGGACUCCACCAGGAAAAAAUAAAAAGAAAAAUUCCAGAUUGAUAAAAAUUUCUUCAGAAAGGACAGCCCAGAUGUUGGAUUCAGUUCCAGGCUCACCAGCACAGGAGAGACGUGGAAGACAGAGCAGCCGAACAAGUUAAACAAAGGGCCCCUAAAAUGAAUAAGAGACUGGAGCAUUUGACAUAUGAGGAGAGGCAUGGAGGGCUGAGACUUUUCAACCUGGAGAAGAGAAGGCUAAUGGGGAACUCAACAAUAUGCAUAAAUUCCUGAGGGAGUGAGGUAAAGAAGAUACAGCCAGACUCAGUGGUGUCCAGUGACAGGACAAGAAGUAAUGGGCACAAACUGUACAUAGAUCCUUGAAAAAUGCAUUACUGCAAAUAAAACAUGUUCAGCAAAAUAUUGUACUUCAGUAAUCAGUUAAUUUUCUGUUUUUAAAACUGAAGAAACAGUACUGAUGACAAAAGAUGCAAGAUUACAUGACGUUUCCAUAAGUUUCCUCACUUUGCAAAGCACAACAACUUCCUAUGCUGAAACAUGGACUCACUCAGCUGCAUACUCCUUGUGUACUUUGGCUGUGUCAUGCAGAGUUCUGGUUGCCAAAGGACUUCAGCAGCUUUCAAACACGUGUUCAGCUACUGCACUUGUUUGUUUUUGUUUUUACCAUGAAAACUGUCUCACUGAUUGUGUUAAUCCUUCUCUAGUUUGUGCAUAAAGACAUCUGUGCAUAGCUUACCAGUCCCCUAACUGAUCCUGUGUGCUGUGACAUGAGGAGAGGUAUACGCAGACUGAACUGGGCUCUGUACAGAAUACUGUGGCAGUGAUUUGCCUGUUGUGCAACUCCUACUUGUCAAAAUAAUUCCAUGGUACAAUAUUUGCUUAGUCUGUGUUUCCUGCCUCUUUUUCCUUUAAUAGGAGGAGGGUAAGGUGCAAAUCCAUGCAUCUCCCAUGUGAGGGGUGUUGUUUAUCCACUUUAAAUUCAAGAUUCUNUUUUUGGCAAAAUGAAUGUUGAGUUCUGAAUUUGUUUUUUUUGUCAUUCAUUUAAGCUCUUAUAUUCUACCAGUUGUAUUACCAUCGAAUGAUCUGGGCCAGAAGGGACCUUGAGGACCAUCUAGUUCCAACACCAUUCUGUGGGCAGCGUUAAUAUACCAUAGUAUAGUUUUUAUUAUAUAUAAUAUUUCUUUAUAUAUUUCAAUUUACAAUCAGUUUUAUUCUUUUUCCCCCAGAAUUUACGUACCAAGAAUCAUUGAGAUUUUAUGAUUGCAAAUUUCUUUCCAGUAACAAAACCAAUAGUGAAAUAUGGGAAUUUUCCAUAGAAUUGAAUUUUAAAUUGUAUGCCAUGCUAGGCAUGGUUUUUUAAGACUUAUUAGACAAAUGUGUUUAGAUGGAUUACCUACCUGGAGGAAAAUAAACUCUACUGUCCCGUAAUAUUACUUGACUGCAUUCCCAUGAGUGACACUGUCCCUUCAUAAUUUUUAGUGUCAUCUAAUUUGUUGCUUUUUGCUUCAAAUCAUGAAGUUCCCACAAGAUAUAGAAAUAUGUACUGUUCAAACUUUUAUUAGAUACGCAAGGAUGUAAUAAAAACAUCAUCCUACCAUUUUCAGAGUUAAAUUUUGGGCUGCCUUGAGAAUCACUGUCUAGGUGCAGAGGACUAUGUAAUCCAUUUCUUAGCAGUUGAGACAGCAAAAUCUGUAAGGUAAUUUACAGUAUUGCAGAAGAAGUCUUCAACAGAGUUUAAUUAAAAUGCUUUGGUGAUCUGAAGAUACUCAUAAUCUAGCGCUGAAAUUAAAGAUGUCCACAUCAACAGAACUUUUUCUCAGGCUCAUGAUGCCAGAUGGCUUUGCUAUGCGUAUAUAUGUAUCAUGUGUAUAAAUCUACAUUUAAUGACCAAAAUAUGGAAUGGUUUUUCAACCACUCCCAAGUAAGUGAUGUAAUGCCAAGAUAUGAGGCAUUUGGUCCUGACUGUUAGAUUCAGAUCACUUAAGCGAGGCACCUAGGUUUUUUUUUUAUACAGUUCUUGGAGAGAAUCAUAGAAUCAUAGAAUUGCUCAGGUUGGAAAAGACUUUAAAGGUUAUCAAGUCCAACUGCAACCUAACCAUACUACCCCAACUCUAACAACCCUCCACUAAAUCAUGUCCUUGAAUGUAGAUGACCUAAAGAGGGAACUUUUCUGGUGAGUUGCUUAGAGCCUGUGAGUAAACAUAGGUUUACACUUACACUGCAUAGGUCUGAGCCCUGUGCUUUGGGUGUUUCCAUUUGGCUCCAGCUCUGCUUCUGUGUAUCAAUGUUUAACUAGAAGGGAAUAUUUGUAUAUCUAAAGCACAGACAUGUUAAUGGUGGCAGAUUACUACAACAUGCAUAAUGCAGUUAGACUGUGAAGCUCACUGUCACAAGAGGAUUCAGAAAAUAAUAAAGUUAAUUCUUGAAAGUUUGAAGUUUUUGUCUCAAUUUAGGUAUAUACUAUUCUGUUUCUCUAUUUAUCAAUAUACAUUCAAUAAUCAAAAUACGCUUGUCUGCUCUAUAUACACACAGCCUGAAUACUUUUCUAAACCUGGAAAAUUGUCUUGUACUCUGUGUCACCAGUUUCUAUUUGAAAGAUAAAUUAGACCGUUANCGAAU
Molecule: long non-coding RNA, 2722 nt
Filed under: Pavo cristatus (Indian peafowl)
Lineage: Eukaryota; Metazoa; Chordata; Aves; Galliformes; Phasianidae
Description: lncRNA (ENSPSTG00000006606.1)
Source: RNAcentral